CCCCCCCACCAGAGGCAAGGGGUAGGGAGCCGGAGAGUGCAGAGGGACAUGAAAUUUGACCACUGUGGCUGUGUUGUGCCCUCCUUCCCCCAUCUCAAGGGACGUGGCCCUUCUGGAGCACAGACUGUGACAUCUCUUCGGGGAAUGAGCUCCCUGAAUUUAUGGCCAGCUGCUCAGAGGAGCGUUCCCCUUGAUCUGCUCCGUACCCAUCUGAUGUGCGCGUUAAAGGAAUCCCCUAGUGUUCGGUGCUUUGGGAUUUGGUGAACGACUCUUCAUCCUGCCCUUCCAACCCUCACGGCAGCAUACACUGUAAUUUCAAAGGCAAAAGACCCUGAGGGUGAAGCUGAAACUACCCCCUCAAGCAAUAAUGACUACCCCAUGGCAGCAAGACCCCAAGGCAAUGAUCCACCUGACCUUUAUUGCCCACCUACGGAACCCACAGACCUUUGCCCCGUACUUGCCUUAUAUAAACCUGGAGGUCUUUUCAGCACUCUGGAGAUGGUCUUUGAGACGUUGGUCCUCUGUCUUGCUGAUGUCAGCCCCACUGAGAGCGGCUGCACCUGCUCAACUUUGGACCCCUGGAGCCAGGUAUUCUAGCACCCCUGCGCCCCGGCUACAGGGCCUGAUGCCGGGCCCCAAAACCCCAUCUCUAAGGAAUCCCUCCUUGAAGACCUCCAGGGGUUCUGGCCACUUCCCCAGCUGCUCUGUGUGCCUGUCACUGUGCUGUGACAAGGCAUUAUGCUCCGUUUGGCCGCUCAAGGGUGUCCUUCGACCUCACGGAAUGUGCAGGCCAGUAGGAGCCGUGCGCCUCGCUGAGUCCA
Molecule: long non-coding RNA, 821 nt
Organism: Acinonyx jubatus (cheetah)
Lineage: Eukaryota; Metazoa; Chordata; Mammalia; Carnivora; Felidae
Exons: 3
Source: RefSeq, a predicted model, not a curated record